AGGCAUUACGGCAGCUACCAUGCAGUCGAGCGGUAGCACAGAGAGCUUGCUCUCGGGUGACGAGCGGCGGACGGGUGAGUAAUGUCUGGGAAACUGCCUGAUGGAGGGGGAUAACUACUGGAAACGGUAGCUAAUACCGCAUAACGUCGCAAGACCAAAGAGGGGGACCUUCGGGCCUCUUGCCAUCAGAUGUGCCCAGAUGGGAUUAGCUAGUAGGUGGGGUAACGGCUCACCUAGGCGACGAUCCCUAGCUGGUCUGAGAGGAUGACCAGCCACACUGGAACUGAGACACGGUCCAGACUCCUACGGGAGGCAGCAGUGGGGAAUAUUGCACAAUGGGCGCAAGCCUGAUGCAGCCAUGCCGCGUGUAUGAAGAAGGCCUUCGGGUUGUAAAGUACUUUCAGCGGGGAGGAAGGUGCUGAGGUUAAUAACCUCAGCAAUUGACGUUACCCGCAGAAGAAGCACCGGCUAACUCCGUGCCAGCAGCCGCGGUAAUACGGAGGGUGCAAGCGUUAAUCGGAAUUACUGGGCGUAAAGCGCACGCAGGCGGUCUGUCAAGUCGGAUGUGAAAUCCCCGGGCUCAACCUGGGAACUGCAUUCGAAACUGGCAGGCUAGAGUCUUGUAGAGGGGGGUAGAAUUCCAGGUGUAGCGGUGAAAUGCGUAGAGAUCUGGAGGAAUACCGGUGGCGAAGGCGGCCCCCUGGACAAAGACUGACGCUCAGGUGCGAAAGCGUGGGGAGCAAACAGGAUUAGAUACCCUGGUAGUCCACGCCGUAAACGAUGUCGACUUGGAGGUUGUGCCCUUGAGGCGUGGCUUCCGGAGCUAACGCGUUAAGUCGACCGCCUGGGGAGUACGGCCGCAAGGUUAAAACUCAAAUGAAUUGACGGGGGCCCGCACAAGCGGUGGAGCAUGUGGUUUAAUUCGAUGCAACGCGAGAACCUUACCUACUCUUGACAUCCAGAGAACUUACCAGAGAUGCAUUGGUGCCUUCGGGAACUCUGAGACAGUGCUGCAUGGCUGUCGUCAGCUCGUGUUGUGAAAUGUUGGGUAAGUCCCGCAACGAGCGCACCCUUAUCCUUUGUUGCCAGCGGUCCGGCCGGGAACUCAAAGGAG
This 1114-nucleotide ribosomal RNA is filed under the name Enterobacter asburiae. Its description in RNAcentral is "bacterial SSU rRNA". It matches the Rfam family "Bacterial small subunit ribosomal RNA", at positions 33 to 1147 of the family's 1533-position model. The record is from RNAcentral. Lineage: Bacteria; Pseudomonadati; Pseudomonadota; Gammaproteobacteria; Enterobacterales; Enterobacteriaceae.